Molecule: long non-coding RNA, 100 nt
Organism: Neogale vison (American mink)
Lineage: Eukaryota; Metazoa; Chordata; Mammalia; Carnivora; Mustelidae
Exons: 3
Source: RefSeq, a predicted model, not a curated record
UUUCCGGAAGCAGAAAAAGGAAAUCCUGCCAUCAAAGGCCAAGAGAGCAAGCAUUCAGUAUGGUGUCUUUUUACUAAUGUGCACAGUGACCACACUUUCC